AGAUUAAGUUAUUAAGGGCGCACGGUGGAUGCCUUGGCACUAGAAGCCGAUGAAGGACGUUACUAACGACGAUAUGCUUUGGGGAGCUGUAAGUAAGCUUUGAUCCAGAGAUUUCCGAAUGGGGAAACCCAGCAUGAGUUAUGUCAUGUUAUCGAUAUGUGAAUACAUAGCAUAUCAGAAGGCACACCCGGAGAACUGAAACAUCUUAGUACCCGGAGGAAGAGAAAGAAAAUUCGAUUCCCUUAGUAGCGGCGAGCGAAACGGGAAGAGCCCAAACCAACAAGCUUGCUUGUUGGGGUUGUAGGACACUCUAUACGGAGUUACAAAGGACGACAUUAGACGAAUCAUCUGGAAAGAUGAAUCAAAGAAGGUAAUAAUCCUGUAGUCGAAAAUGUUGUCUCUCUUGAGUGGAUCCUGAGUACGACGGAGCACGUGAAAUUCCGUCGGAAUCUGGGAGGACCAUCUCCUAAGGCUAAAUACUCUCUAGUGACCGAUAGUGA
This 500-nucleotide ribosomal RNA is filed under the name Staphylococcus aureus. RNAcentral's name for it is "partial 23S ribosomal RNA". It matches the Rfam family "Bacterial large subunit ribosomal RNA", at positions 1 to 493 of the family's 2925-position model. Lineage: Bacteria; Bacillati; Bacillota; Bacilli; Caryophanales; Staphylococcaceae. The record is from RNAcentral.